This 72-nucleotide transfer RNA is filed under the name Candidatus Uhrbacteria bacterium. Its description in RNAcentral is "tRNA-Ala". It matches the Rfam family "tRNA". From Rfam's summary of the family: Transfer RNA (tRNA) molecules are approximately 80 nucleotides in length. Their secondary structure includes four short double-helical elements and three loops (D, anti-codon, and T loops). Further hydrogen bonds mediate the characteristic L-shaped molecular structure. tRNAs have two regions of fundamental functional importance: the anti-codon, which is responsible for specific mRNA codon recognition, and the 3' end, to which the tRNAs corresponding amino acid is attached (by aminoacyl-tRNA synthetases). tRNAs cope with the degeneracy of the genetic code in two manners: having more than one tRNA (with a specific anti-codon) for a particular amino acid; and 'wobble' base-pairing, i.e. permitting non-standard base-pairing at the 3rd anti-codon position. The record is from RNAcentral. Lineage: Bacteria; Candidatus Uhriibacteriota.
GGGCCGUUAGCUCAGUGGUAGAGCACCGCAUUUGCAAUGCGGGGGUCGGGGGUUCAAAUCCCCCACGGUCCA